Molecule: long non-coding RNA, 728 nt
Organism: Xiphophorus maculatus (southern platyfish)
Lineage: Eukaryota; Metazoa; Chordata; Actinopteri; Cyprinodontiformes; Poeciliidae
Exons: 3
Source: RefSeq, a predicted model, not a curated record
AAAGUGUGUCCAAUUUUGCAUUGAUUCAUUUGUAAUUCAGAUAAAAUCCCUUGCCUUUGAAAACUCCAUCUCCAACCCUUUGAUUUAAACAAAGGCAACGCCAGGCAGGGCUUAAUUUCCAAACAAAUGAUAAACAAAGAAACUACCACUCCACAGCUUGUCUGACCUCUCGUCUGGCAGCAGGCCAUGCGGGUAGAGGCAGAGGAAGAGAGGGAUUGUGGGAGGGAAGUUUGUGUGUGCGCGCGUGGCCUCAUCGCCUCAUCUCGACUGCCGAAGCCUGGCAGACUGGGGGUUUAAAUAUUAACAAGCCACACAUGGCCCUCCUCUUCUGCCGGGUCCCUCGAUGGAAGGCAACAGCAGCUCCCUCCACCAAGACAAACACGUCCGCGGCCAGACAUGCUGCAGGGGGUUUACAUUUUAAUGCCUUUGUUGGUUUUCCAAAAUAUGCUUCCAUCUCAUCCUGGAUGGGAUCCCUUCAGGUCCACAAAGCCAGGUGACGUCCAUCAUUUCAGGGGUGAGUGAGAACCUGAUGUCUAAGCAGCCGCCGUUAACCGAUCUACAGGAUGUGGUUUCUUCACUUCCACCCGAGGUCUGCUGGGAGGAAGUAUCAUGCUCUGUAGUGCACGAGGUAAAAAGGAGGAGCCACAGAGGUUAACCAAAGAGAUGAGAAGACUCACCACAGUGCAGCAGAGAGGCCAGAACCACCACAAGAAGGCCAGAGCCGCGAG